UGGAAUCACCUAAACGUGAGACAAACCGGCGAUCAUCAGAUCCACACAUUACAAUCUCUGCCUCUUUUUAAGUCCAGCUCCUGAAGACGUUCGACUCCCCGCCACCCUUUCCACCUGAAAGGUAUUCCCGUGAAUUUGUUCAGGAGUUGUUUUGUCAGAAUACCAACCGUCGGAGUGUUUGCAUAAGCCGGGCGCGCUACACUUUCAGAGCCAAAUAUCUCUGCACCCUGCCGCCGCCCCUGCAGCAAGUCAAUGAAAUGUGCGGUAAGAGCCUGGUUCCCUCUUGCAGCCAUUUGCAUUUAAAAGGUUUAUUUCAUGGUAGAGGUGAGGGUGGGAGGGUUAAAUGUGUCAUUUUCUGUGUAUUUAUCCGAAGGUGCCUUAGCGCUACCCCGAUGAUAGAAAAGGGAAAGAGAGAGAGAGAGAGAGAAAAAAAACGUCUACUUUGGUAAAGACGCUGAGAUGCUUGUGUCUGCGACUGGUGUCAUUUUAGCGCCAUUAGAAGGCCAAUUAUGAUCCGGCUGGCAUGAAUAAAACAUCUGUUAAAGCCGACCUCAGAACAAGCUUAUAGGCCGCAGAACAGUUGAUGAUACUCUCUGAAUUCAAACGAUCCACGGCGAAAGACUGAGCCGCAACGGUUUCUAAGUGAAAACAAGGUCGCUUCAUCUGUUGAAACAAGCGACACCUUUCAUUUAAAGAGGCGUUCGGGCCGAGGCCUUUUGACUGUGAGGUUUUUUUUUUAUAUAUACAAGAUUUAAAAAGACCACUUUAUCAAGGUCAUUUUAUUUUAUUCUCUAAAUGUCAAAAUGUCUAACAGAUCUGAAAUAUGAAACAGGUUCAGGGCUCUGCUAGGCUGGUCCAAAUUGCAAAUGAAUCCCGUUUUCACAUUUGGGUUAAUCAAGAGAUCGUAGGUGAUUGCUGCCAUCUUACUAUGCAAAGAUGUAGUAAAUGCAUUAUAAAGGCGUGUUAAGCUAUUUUUUUUUUUUGCAGUUUCUAAGUUUAAAUUAGUUUUUAUCAAUCCAAAUUACGAUUCAGUGCAUUCAGUCGAUGGUGUUAGGCCAACUGGUGAAAAGUUACGUCGAAACAAGAUUGAAUCGAGCCGCUGAUGUUUGGGCAGUUUAUUCUGGGCCGUCUGAU
This is a long non-coding RNA of Fundulus heteroclitus (mummichog), 1134 nucleotides long. RefSeq lists it as uncharacterized. The record is from RefSeq and is a predicted model, not a curated record. NCBI's taxonomy places the organism in Eukaryota, Metazoa, Chordata, Actinopteri, Cyprinodontiformes, Fundulidae. The transcript has 2 exons.